CCUACGGGGCGCAGCAGUGGGGGAUAUUGCACAAUGGGGGGAACCCUGAUGCAGCGACGCCGCGUGGGUGAAGAAGCGCCUCGGCGCGUAAAGCCCUGUCAGCAGGGAAGAAAAUGACGGUACCUGAAGAAGAAGCCCCGGCUAACUACGUGCCAGCAGCCGCGGCAAUACGUAGGGGGCAAGCGUUAUCCGGAUUUACUGGGUGUAAGGGGGCGCAGACGGCGAUGCAAGCCAGGAGUGAAAGCCCGGGGCCCAACCCCGGGACUGCUCUUGGAACUGCGUGGCUAGAGUGCAGGAGGGGCAGG
Molecule: ribosomal RNA, 305 nt
Filed under: uncultured bacterium
Lineage: Bacteria
Description: bacterial SSU rRNA
Rfam family: Bacterial small subunit ribosomal RNA
Source: RNAcentral